GAUAACAGGUUGAUCUUCACUCAACGUGGAACAUCGACGAGAAGGUUUGACACCUCGAUGUCGGCUCUUCGCCACCUAGGUUCCAAGGGUUGGGCUAUUUGCCCAUUAAAGUGGUACGUGAGUUGGGUUUAGAACAUCGUGAGACAGUUC
This 150-nucleotide non-coding RNA is filed under the name Phaseolus vulgaris (common bean). RNAcentral describes it as "Bacterial large subunit ribosomal RNA". It matches the Rfam family "Bacterial large subunit ribosomal RNA", at positions 2473 to 2632 of the family's 2925-position model. Lineage: Eukaryota; Viridiplantae; Streptophyta; Magnoliopsida; Fabales; Fabaceae. The record is from Rfam by way of RNAcentral.